UACAGAGGGUGCGAGCGUUAAUCGGAAUUACUGGGCGUAAAGCGUGCGUAGACGGUUAUUUAAGUCGGGUGUGAAAGCCCCGGGCUCAACCUGGGAAUUGCAUUCGAGACUGAAUAGCUAGGGUACGGUAGAGGGAAGUGGAAUUUCCGGUGUAGUGGUGGAAUGCGUAGAUAUCGGGAGGAACACCAGUGGCGAAGGCGGCUUCCUGGACCGACAUUGACGCUGAGGAGCGAAAGCUAGGGGAGCAAACGGG
This 253-nucleotide ribosomal RNA is filed under the name uncultured bacterium. Its description in RNAcentral is "partial 16S ribosomal RNA". It matches the Rfam family "Bacterial small subunit ribosomal RNA", at positions 524 to 776 of the family's 1533-position model. The record is from RNAcentral.